CAUCAAAGGAGACCCCAAGAGGAAGCAAUGCUGAAAAUGUUGAUACCAUAAACCAAGAAUUUUCAGGCUGUCUUUGAAGUAGUUUAAAAUGAUUGCACAGAAUAACAAGUGGGAAAAAAUAUAGCAGCUCCUCUGUCUCUUCGAGUGGAACGGCACAAGCAGAAUCAUUCAGCAGAGAGUUUAUAUUAUUAUCUCAGCAUGGUGAAUAAUUGCAAGCAUCAAAAUCAACACUACUAAAAGAAGUGACUUCAGAAGACUUCAAGAACAUUCCAGAGGGGAAAAAAGUCUGGAAAAGUGUCCUGGCUGAAAUAUCUCUCAGGACUCUUCCAAGCACCUUGCAUGUGUCUGUAUUCCAACUCCAGCUUAAGUUAAUUUCCUCAACUCCAUAGACACCUAAUAAUUCUGCUUAGGAAGUAAAAACCUUUCAGCAGGAACCACUGCUGCUCUUUUACCACAGAAGAGAUAUUUGGAUAUACACUUCUAUAUGAACAAUACUUCUUCCUCAUCCAGGUACUGACAACAGCUCUUCUCAUCCUUAUGUCCAUUUUCUCUAAAAUAUGAACAUUUUGGUCAUCCUUUUAUUAUUUUGGGUUACUAAAUCUUGUAAACUUUGAUGUUGCUAUUAAAUGUGUAUUGUCCCAGCACGAUGAGGCCUGCCACUGCUGCAGUUAUCCAAACCCAGUGACAAACAUGUAUCCUGUCAGACUGAACAGAGACCAACUUCAACUUAUUUUUCAUGACCACACACCACAUUCCUGACCCCUGCUGAUACUUCCCUGAUGUAGGAGGAACGCUGCAGGACACUCCCUGACACAGCAGCUGAGAAUAAGCCAAUUGCACCAAUCAGGUGUGAAGCACAAAGACCUUUAUGAGAAGAGGCAGGCUGGGAGAACCAGGCAGAUUUAAGAUUUCAGCAUCUAUUUCACAGGUUCUCUGCCUGUUGCUAUUUUAAUCCGUUACUACUUAGAAGCUGAUUUUGUUGGUGGGAUUUUUUUUUAAUGGUGUUUUCUUCUUUUCUCACUUAUUUCACUUAGAAGAAGCUGUGAAAAUCAUGUAUUUCUGUAACAGUACACACAGGCACAACACAGGACUAAUUUGAUGGCAGAAAUUUCAGGCAACAAUAUCCAUGGAAUCAAUGCCUCAUUGAAUAUUCUGUAGUUUCUCAAAAUAGAAAUCUAUCAUGGAGAGACCUGAUGCAAUCUUAAACACAGUACAGAAAAUGCCAUAUUGCUGUAAUUCAGUAAGCCAUGUUAUCUAUAGCAUAAUUAUAAUUUCAGUAUUAAUGAGGAGUUUUCAUAAUGUCAUGAGGAAAUAGUUACUUUCAUUUCAUCUGGUUCCGUUUGUUAAAUGGCAUAAAGCAACACCAGGUAUAUUUAAUAAAAUUAUUAUACUGGAAUAGAUUG
Molecule: non-coding RNA, 1403 nt
Organism: Lonchura striata (white-rumped munia)
Lineage: Eukaryota; Metazoa; Chordata; Aves; Passeriformes; Estrildidae
Source: RefSeq, a predicted model, not a curated record